This 495-nucleotide ribosomal RNA is filed under the name uncultured bacterium. RNAcentral's name for it is "partial 16S ribosomal RNA". It matches the Rfam family "Bacterial small subunit ribosomal RNA", at positions 29 to 507 of the family's 1533-position model. The record is from RNAcentral.
AUGAACGCUGGCGGCGUGCCUCAUCCAUGCCAGUCGAGCGAACAGAUAAGGAGCUUGCUCCUUUGACGUUAGCGGCGGACGGGUGAGUAACACGUGGGUAACCUACCUAUAAGACUGGAAUAACUCCGGGAAACCGGGGCUAAUGCCGGAUAACAUUUAGAACCGCAUGGUUCUAAGUGAAAGAUGGUUUUGCUAUCACUUAUAGAUGGACCCGCGCCGUAUUAGCUAGUUUGUAAGGUAACGGCUUACCAAGGCAACGAUACGUAGCCGACCUGAGAGGGUGAUCGGCCACACUGGAACUGAGACACGGUCCAGACUCCUACGGGAGGCAGCAGUAGGGAAUCUUCCGCAAUGGGCGAAAGCCUGACGGAGCAACGCCGCGUGAGUGAUGAAGGUCUUCGGAUCGUAAAACUCUGUUAUUAGGGAAGAACAAAUGUGUAAGUAACUGUGCACGUCUUGACGGUACCUAAUCAGAAAGCCACGGCUAACUACGUG